ACAGGGAAGCUUCGGGAGCUAGUUGAUGCAACAGUGAGGAGAGGUGUUGAUAUCCUUUGCGUCCAAGAAACCAAAUGGAGAGGACAGAAGGCGAAGGAGGUGGAGGAUACCAGCUUCAAGCUGUGGUACACGGGGACGGCUGCAAACAGAAAUGGCGUAGGCAUCUUGAUCAACAAGAGCCUCAAGUAUGGAGUGGUAGACGUCAGGAGACGUGGGGACCGGAUUAUCCUGGUCAAGCUGGUAGCUGAGGACUUGGUUCUCAAUGUUAUCAGCGCAUAUGCCCCGCAAGUAGGCCACAAUGAGAACACCAAGAGGGAGUUCUGGGAAGGCUUGGAAGACAUGGUUAGGAGUGUACCGAUUGGUGAGAAGCUCUUCAUAGGAGGAGACCUCAAUGGCCACGUGGGUACAUCUAACACAGGUUUUGAAGGGGCGCAUGGGGCUUUGGCUAUGGCAUCAGGAAUCAAGAAGGAGAAGAUGUCUUAA
RNAcentral lists this ribosomal RNA (483 nucleotides) under Triticum aestivum (bread wheat). RNAcentral describes it as "partial small subunit ribosomal RNA". Lineage: Eukaryota; Viridiplantae; Streptophyta; Magnoliopsida; Poales; Poaceae. The record is from RNAcentral.